This 232-nucleotide ribosomal RNA is filed under the name uncultured bacterium. RNAcentral's name for it is "partial 16S ribosomal RNA". It matches the Rfam family "Bacterial small subunit ribosomal RNA", at positions 524 to 755 of the family's 1533-position model. The record is from RNAcentral.
UACAGAGGUCCCAAGCGUUGUUCGGAUUCAUUGGGCGUAAAGGGUGCGUAGGUGGCGAGGCAAGUCUGGUGUGAAAUCCCGGGGCUCAACCCCGGAACUGCACUGGAUACUGCUUUGCUAGAGUACUGGGAGAGGGACUGGAAUUUACGGUGUAGCAGUGAAAUGCGUAGAUAUCGUAAGGAAGACCAGUGGCGAAGGCGAGUUCCUGGACAGUUACUGACACUGAGGCACG